AAGCAAUGAUUCGGAGACUGCAUUAAGUACUGCUUGAACCACUCCCAAGCUUCAUACAGUUGUUCCCCCGAAAGUUUCUUAAACUCAAAAAUUUUAUCUUUGAAAAC
Molecule: small nucleolar RNA, 107 nt
Organism: Lycium ferocissimum
Lineage: Eukaryota; Viridiplantae; Streptophyta; Magnoliopsida; Solanales; Solanaceae
Source: RefSeq, a predicted model, not a curated record